GGCGGUAACAGAGUCGGUCCCCGUGAUCCCUGCCGCAGUGCUGGCAGAUCUUCCCACGUGCUGCCCUCGUAGCCUGAGGAGGGGCCUGGAUGGCGGGUCUGGGCCUUUUACUGGGUUGGACAGGCGCGGUAGGUGCUGGCCUGCGGAGCGGAGCUGAGGGUCGGGAACUCCCCACUAGCUGAGGGUGGGUGUCGAAGCUCCUUUCUAUGAUCUGCGCCUUUGCUAGGACUGCUGAAUAUGUCUCGAGCUCCAUUACCAGUAAGUGCUGUUUGAUCUCCGGGCGGAGGCCCCACUGGAAUUUCCUGGCCUUUCACCCUCAUCCAUCAAUGUCUCCGGGGCAUAUCGGCCCAGCUUCAGGAACUUACGGGCAUACUCUGACACUGUCAUGUUUCCCUGGACCAAUUGAGCAAACUCCAUUUCCUUCAGGUGUUGGAUGUGUUUAGGGAGAUACUCCGCGUGGAAGGCCGCUAAGAACUACUCCCAAGUAGCUGGUGUGGGCAGGGUGGUCCGCUUGAGCUCCCACCAGCGUACUGC
RNAcentral lists this long non-coding RNA (534 nucleotides) under Carica papaya (papaya). RNAcentral's name for it is "long non-coding RNA (CPAP_LNC007105)". The record is from RNAcentral. Lineage: Eukaryota; Viridiplantae; Streptophyta; Magnoliopsida; Brassicales; Caricaceae.